This 573-nucleotide ribosomal RNA is filed under the name [Candida] sp. BG01-5-4-2-1. RNAcentral's name for it is "eukaryotic LSU rRNA". It matches the Rfam family "Eukaryotic large subunit ribosomal RNA", at positions 40 to 631 of the family's 3401-position model. Lineage: Eukaryota; Fungi; Ascomycota; Saccharomycetes; Saccharomycetales. The record is from RNAcentral.
AUAUCAAUAAGCGGAGGAAAAGAAACCAACAGGGAUUGCCUUAGUAACGGCGAGUGAAGCGGCAAAAGCUCAAAUUUGAAAUCUGGCACCUUCGGUGUCCGAGUUGUAAUUUGAAGAAGGUAACUUUGGAGUCAGCUCUUGUCUAUGUUCCUUGGAACAGGACGUCACAGAGGGUGAGAAUCCCGUGCGAUGAGAUGUCUGAUUCUAUGUAAAGUGCUUUCGAAGAGUCGAGUUGUUUGGGAAUGCAGCUCUAAGUGGGUGGUAAAUUCCAUCUAAAGCUAAAUAUUGGCGAGAGACCGAUAGCGAACAAGUACAGUGAUGGAAAGAUGAAAAGAACUUUGAAAAGAGAGUGAAAAAGUACGUGAAAUUGUUGAAAGGGAAGGGUUUGAGAUCAGACUUGGUAUUUUGUAUGUCUUGCUUUCGGGUGGGGCCUCUACAGUUUACUGGGCCAGCAUCGGUUUGGACGGUAGGAUAAUGACAUUGGAAUGUGGCACCACUUCGGUGGUGUGUUAUAGACUUUGUUGAUACUGCCUGUCUAGACCGAGGACUGCGUCUUUGACUAGGAUGCUGGCA